UGAUAACUGCAAUUCAGGCAGGGGUGGAGCUGGUCUGUUCGCAAUGGCAUUUGUCAAUGAUAUUCAUAAUAAGAUCUAAGUCUACAUUUGAUAAAAUCAUUUGGAUGAAUAACAAAGAGUUUGCAUCAACUGAACAAAUAAUCACCAGGACAAAGUAGCUCAAAUCAUCAAUGCCUGGAUGAGGCACCAAAUAACAGUCAAGAAGCACAAUUUCUACCAAGGAUUACCGGUUAAGAAUGGCAGCCGAUUUAGCCCACAGAAAGAGUAUGACAAAGAGGAGGAGAAGAACACUAGAGACCAGUGAUAGCAAUGUAUAACCAGACUUCUCAAACACCACCCAAGCAGCUAAAGCUACUAACAGUAUCCCCAUUGUCACAUCUUUCUGCCUCCACAAGAUCACAUCUGCAACUGUAUCAUCCAAAAAAGCAAGGCUCAUCAGACCCAUAAAAUCCUAACUCCAAAGCAACCGGACCACAAUUCUGCAUUGGAUCAAAGACCAAGGUCUACAUUUACUAAGCUCAACUUUGAAGUAACUCCAAUAUUGAAUGACAAAUUUAAUAGCAAUAUGAAGAUGUUAAGAACAUAAAAGAGCAGAAUCCAUGACCAAAAUAGUGAUACGGAUUCACCAAAAAAGAUGAAAGUGACUCACCAAGACCUCCUCCAAGGAUCUCAUGAAGGGUUCUUUGCCGGCGAAACAAUCUUUCCGGUGAACCCAUUUGAACACAAAACCCAAAAACACAAUCUGAAUCCAAUCCAGAUCUCCAAGAGCCAAAAAGGAUGUAGCUUUGGGGAAUUCAGAUGAUUCCACAGUAAAAGAGAAACAAUGGG
Molecule: long non-coding RNA, 828 nt
Organism: Rosa chinensis
Lineage: Eukaryota; Viridiplantae; Streptophyta; Magnoliopsida; Rosales; Rosaceae
Exons: 2
Source: RefSeq, a predicted model, not a curated record